This 1247-nucleotide ribosomal RNA is filed under the name Escherichia coli. RNAcentral describes it as "bacterial SSU rRNA". It matches the Rfam family "Bacterial small subunit ribosomal RNA", at positions 90 to 1333 of the family's 1533-position model. Lineage: Bacteria; Pseudomonadati; Pseudomonadota; Gammaproteobacteria; Enterobacterales; Enterobacteriaceae. The record is from RNAcentral.
GACGAGUGGCGGACGGGUGAGUAAUGUCUGGGAAACUGCCUGAUGGAGGGGGAUAACUACUGGAAACGGUAGCUAAUACCGCAUAACGUCGCAAGACCAAAGAGGGGGACCUUCGGGCCUCUUGCCAUCGGAUGUGCCCAGAUGGGAUUAGCUUGUUGGUGGGGUAACGGCUCACCAAGGCGACGAUCCCUAGCUGGUCUGAGAGGAUGACCAGCCACACUGGAACUGAGACACGGUCCAGACUCCUACGGGAGGCAGCAGUGGGGAAUAUUGCACAAUGGGCGCAAGCCUGAUGCAGCCAUGCCGCGUGUAUGAAGAAGGCCUUCGGGUUGUAAAGUACUUUCAGCGGGGAGGAAGGGAGUAAAGUUAAUACCUUUGCUCAUUGACGUUACCCGCAGAAGAAGCACCGGCUAACUCCGUGCCAGCAGCCGCGGUAAUACGGAGGGUGCAAGCGUUAAUCGGAAUUACUGGGCGUAAAGCGCACGCAGGCGGUUUGUUAAGUCAGAUGUGAAAUCCCCGGGCUCAACCUGGGAACUGCAUCUGAUACUGGCAAGCUUGAGUCUCGUAGAGGGGGGUAGAAUUCCAGGUGUAGCGGUGAAAUGCGUAGAGAUCUGGAGGAAUACCGGUGGCGAAGGCGGCCCCCUGGACGAAGACUGACGCUCAGGUGCGAAAGCGUGGGGAGCAAACAGGGAUUAGAUACCCUGGUAGUCCACGCCGUAAACGAUGUCGACUUGGAGGUUGUGCCCUUGAGGCGUGGCUUCCGGAGCUAACGCGUUAAGUCGACCGCCUGGGGAGUACGGCCGCAAGGUUAAAACUCAAAUGAAUUGACGGGGGCCCGCACAAGCGGUGGAGCAUGUGGUUUAAUUCGAUGCAACGCGAAGAACCUUACCUGGUCUUGACAUCCACGGAAGUUUUCAGAGAUGAGAAUGUGCCUUCGGGAACCGUGAGACAGGUGCUGCAUGGCUGUCGUCAGCUCGUGUUGUGAAAUGUUGGGUUAAGUCCCGCAACGAGCGCAACCCUUAUCCUUUGUUGCCAGCGGUCCGGCCGGGAACUCAAAGGAGACUGCCAGUGAUAAACUGGAGGAAGGUGGGGAUGACGUCAAGUCAUCAUGGCCCUUACGACCAGGGCUACACACGUGCUACAAUGGCGCAUACAAAGAGAAGCGACCUCGCGAGAGCAAGCGGACCUCAUAAAGUGCGUCGUAGUCCGGAUUGGAGUCUGCAACUCGACUCCAUGAAGUCGGAAUC